RNAcentral lists this transfer RNA (121 nucleotides) under Umbilicaria muhlenbergii. Its description in RNAcentral is "tRNA-Und (NNN) (tRNA-Und-NNN-4-1)". It matches the Rfam family "tRNA". From Rfam's summary of the family: Transfer RNA (tRNA) molecules are approximately 80 nucleotides in length. Their secondary structure includes four short double-helical elements and three loops (D, anti-codon, and T loops). The record is from RNAcentral. Lineage: Eukaryota; Fungi; Ascomycota; Lecanoromycetes; Umbilicariales; Umbilicariaceae.
GGGCCUGUGGCGCAACGGUAGCGCGUUGUAAGAACCCUGCUGUUUUCGCUUGUAAAUGGAUAUUAAUCUUCCACAGCGACUCCAGAUCGAAAGGUUGCCAGUUCAAAUCUGACCGGGCUCA